GAUAGUAAAUUUUGUAGAUUACACCGCUCAUAUGUUUUCCGUGGUUGUGGUAGAAACAGUUGGUAGCCUGAGGUGUUGUAGCUUGUCCCAGCCCGGUGGUUCAGAGUUUGUAGAUGAGUAGCAGCCCUAGGCCCUUAGCAUGUCCCAGAUGAUCUGUCUGUUCCGAGGCUUUGUCAGUGUGUGUAAAUCUGCCAGGUACAUGUUUUAAUUUUAUCAGAGCUCCUUCUUUGUACUCCCUCCGUUCUGAAAUAUAGGUCGUUGGGGACCUUGUUCCGACCAGGUGAAAAGCUGUGAAAUGACGUUAAUACCCUGGUUCUAGUCUUCUACCUCCGC
RNAcentral lists this long non-coding RNA (333 nucleotides) under Triticum aestivum (bread wheat). RNAcentral describes it as "long non-coding RNA (TAES_LNC019582)". Lineage: Eukaryota; Viridiplantae; Streptophyta; Magnoliopsida; Poales; Poaceae. The record is from RNAcentral.